This 400-nucleotide ribosomal RNA is filed under the name uncultured bacterium. RNAcentral's name for it is "bacterial SSU rRNA". It matches the Rfam family "Bacterial small subunit ribosomal RNA", at positions 355 to 772 of the family's 1533-position model. The record is from RNAcentral.
UGGGGAAUAUUGCGCAAUGGAGGAAACUCUGACGCAGCCAUGCCGCGUGAGUGAUGAAGGUCUUCGGAUUGUAAAGCUCUUUAGUUGGGGAAGAUAGUGACGGUACCCAAAGAAUAAGUCCCGGCUAACUCCGUGCCAGCAGCCGCGGUAAUACGGAGGGGGCAAACGUUACUCGGAAUUACUGGGCGUAAAGCGACUGUAGGCUGUGUGCCAAGUCGGGUGUGAAAUCCCGGGGCUUAACCCCGGAAUUGCAUUCGAAACUAGCACGCUAGAAUCUUGGAGAGGAUGGUGGAAUAUCCAGUGUAGAGGUGAAAUUCGUAGAUAUUGGAUGGAACACCGGUGGCGAAGGCGACCAUCUGGCCAAGUAUUGACGCUGAGAGUCGAAAGCGUGGGGAGCAAA